RNAcentral lists this ribosomal RNA (460 nucleotides) under uncultured bacterium. Its description in RNAcentral is "partial 16S ribosomal RNA". It matches the Rfam family "Bacterial small subunit ribosomal RNA", at positions 338 to 795 of the family's 1533-position model. The record is from RNAcentral.
CCUACGGGGGGCAGCAGUGAGGAAUAUUGGUCAAUGGGCGAGAGCCUGAACCAGCCAAGUCGCGUGAAGGAUGAAGGAUCUAUGGUUUGUAAACUUCUUUUAUAUGGGAAUAAAGUGAGGAACGUGUUCCUUUUUGUAUGUACCAUAUGAAUAAGCAUCGGCUAACUCCGUGCCAGCAGCCGCGGUAAUACGGAGGAUGCGAGCGUUAUCCGGAUUUAUUGGGUUUAAAGGGUGCGUAGGUGGUUAAUUAAGUCAGCGGUGAAAGUUUGUGGCUCAACCAUAAAAUUGCCGUUGAAACUGGCAGACUUGAGUAUAUUUGAGGUAGGCGGAAUGCGUGGUGUAGCGGUGAAAUGCUUAGAUAUCACGAAGAACUCCGAUUGCGAAGGCAGCUUACUAAACUACAACUGACACUGAAGCACGAAAGCGUGGGGAUCAAACAGGAUUAGAUACCCGUGUAGUC